GGGUAAUUGGCCUGCUUGGUUAAGCCCUUUUCGAGUGAGCGCUUCGUUUACACCGAAGAUGUCGGCGGUUCGAGCCCGUCAUCGCCCACCA
RNAcentral lists this transfer RNA (91 nucleotides) under Mesorhizobium sp. B2-1-8. RNAcentral describes it as "tRNA-Val". Lineage: Bacteria; Pseudomonadati; Pseudomonadota; Alphaproteobacteria; Hyphomicrobiales; Phyllobacteriaceae. The record is from RNAcentral.